GGGUUGUGAGGUUAAGCGACUAAGCGUACACGGUGGAUGCCCUGGCAGUCAGAGGCGAUGAAGGACGUGCUAAUCUGCGAUAAGCGCCGGUAAGGUGAUAUGAACCGUUAUAACCGGCGAUUUCCGAAUGGGGAAACCCAGUGUGAUUCGUCACACUAUCAUUAACUGAAUCCAUAGGUUAAUGAGGCGAACCGGGGGAACUGAAACAUCUAAGUACCCCGAGGAAAAGAAAUCAACCGAGAUUCCCCCAGUAGCGGCGAGCGAACGGGGAGGAGCCCAGAGCCUGAAUCAGCAUGUGUGUUAGUGGAAGCGUCUGGAAAGGCGCGCGAUACAGGGUGACAGCCCCGUACACAAAAGCGCAUGUGCUGUGAGCUCGAUGAGUAGGGCGGGACACGUGGUAUCCUGUCUGAAUAUGGGGGGACCAUCCUCCAAGGCUAAAUACUCCUGACUGACCGAUAGUGAACCAGUACCGUGAGGGAAAGGCGAAAAGAACCCCGGCGAGGGGAGUGAAAAAGAACCUGAAACCGUGUACGUACAAGCAGUGGGAGCACCCUUCGGGGUGUGACUGCGUACCUUUUGUAUAAUGGGUCAGCGACUUAUAUUCUGUAGCAAGGUUAACCGUAUAGGGGAGCCGGAGGGAAACCGAGUCUUAAUUGGGCGUUAAGUUGCAGGGUAUAGACCCGAAACCCGGUGAUCUAGCCAUGGGCAGGUUGAAGGUUGGGUAACACUAACUGGAGGACCGAACCGACUAAUGUUGAAAAAUUAGCGGAUGACCUGUGGCUGGGGGUGAAAGGCCAAUCAAACCGGGAGAUAGCUGGUUCUCCCCGAAAGCUAUUUAGGUAGCGCCUCGUGAAUUCAUCUCCGGGGGUAGAGCACUGUUUCGGCUAGGGGGCCAUCCCGGCUUACCAACCCGAUGCAAACUGCGAAUACCGGAGAAUGUUAUCACGGGAGACACACGGCGGGUGCUAACGUCCGUCGUGAAGAGGGAAACAACCCAGACCGCCAGCUAAGGUCCCAAAGUCAUGGUUAAGUGGGAAACGAUGUGGGAAGGCCCAGACAGCCAGGAUGUUGGCUUAGAAGCAGCCAUCAUUUAAAGAAAGCGUAAUAGCUCACUGGUCGAGUCGGCCUGCGCGGAAGAUGUAACGGGGCUAAACCAUGCACCGAAGCUGCGGCAGCGAACGUAUCACCCAAGACAACUUUACGGAGUUGACGAUUGACGGAGCGAAGCGACGUCAAAGCGUUCAUUAAAGUCGAGUUGGCUUAGGGAUACGUUCGUUGGGUAGGGGAGCGUUCUGUAAGCCUGUGAAGGUGUGUCGUGAGGCAUGCUGGAGGUAUCAGAAGUGCGAAUGCUGACAUAAGUAACGAUAAAGCGGGUGAAAAGCCCGCUCGCCGGAAGACCAAGGGUUCCUGUCCAACGUUAAUCGGGGCAGGGUGAGUCGACCCCUAAGGCGAGGCCGAAAGGCGUAGUCGAUGGGAAACGGGUUAAUAUUCCCGUACUUGGUGUUACUGCGAAGGGGGGACGGAGAAGGCUAUGUUGGCCGGGCGACGGUUGUCCCGGUUUAAGGGUGUAGGUGUGUGUUCCAGGUAAAUCCGGUUCACUUUAACACUGAGGCGUGACGACGAGGCACUACGGUGCUGAAGCAACAAAUGCCCUGCUUCCAGGAAAAGCCUCUAAGCAUCAGGUAACACGAAAUCGUACCCCAAACCGACACAGGUGGUCAGGUAGAGAAUACCAAGGCGCUUGAGAGAACUCGGGUGAAGGAACUAGGCAAAAUGGUGCCGUAACUUCGGGAGAAGGCACGCUGACACGUAGGUGAAGUGAUUUACUCAUGGAGCUGAAGUCAGUCGAAGAUACCAGCUGGCUGCAACUGUUUAUUAAAAACACAGCACUGUGCAAACACGAAAGUGGACGUAUACGGUGUGACGCCUGCCCGGUGCCGGAAGGUUAAUUGAUGGGGUCAGCGUAAGCGAAGCUCCUGAUCGAAGCCCCGGUAAACGGCGGCCGUAACUAUAACGGUCCUAAGGUAGCGAAAUUCCUUGUCGGGUAAGUUCCGACCUGCACGAAUGGCGUAAUGAUGGCCAGGCUGUCUCCACCCGAGACUCAGUGAAAUUGAACUCGCUGUGAAGAUGCAGUGUACCCGCGGCAAGACGGAAAGACCCCGUGAACCUUUACUAUAGCUUGACACUGAACAUUGAGCCUUGAUGUGUAGGAUAGGUGGGAGGCUUUGAAGUGUGGACGCCAGUCUGCAUGGAGCCGACCUUGAAAUACCACCCUUUAAUGUUUGAUGUUCUAACGUGGACCCGUAAUCCGGGUUGCGGACAGUGUCUGGUGGGUAGUUUGACUGGGGCGGUCUCCUCCUAAAGAGUAACGGAGGAGCACGAAGGUUGGCUAAUCCUGGUCGGACAUCAGGAGGUUAGUGCAAUGGCAUAAGCCAGCUUGACUGCGAGCGUGACGGCGCGAGCAGGUGCGAAAGCAGGUCAUAGUGAUCCGGUGGUUCUGAAUGGAAGGGCCAUCGCUCAACGGAUAAAAGGUACUCCGGGGAUAACAGGCUGAUACCGCCCAAGAGUUCAUAUCGACGGCGGUGUUUGGCACCUCGAUGUCGGCUCAUCACAUCCUGGGGCUGAAGUAGGUCCCAAGGGUAUGGCUGUUCGCCAUUUAAAGUGGUACGCGAGCUGGGUUUAGAACGUCGUGAGACAGUUCGGUCCCUAUCUGCCGUGGGCGCUGGAGAACUGAGGGGGGCUGCUCCUAGUACGAGAGGACCGGAGUGGACGCAUCACUGGUGUUCGGGUUGUCAUGCCAAUGGCACUGCCCGGUAGCUAAAUGCGGAAGAGAUAAGUGCUGAAAGCAUCUAAGCACGAAACUUGCCCCGAGAUGAGUUCUCCCUGAGACUUAGAGUCUCCUGAAGGAACGUUGAAGACGACGACGUUGAUAGGCCGGGUGUGUAAGCGCAGCGAUGCGUUGAGCUAACCGGUACUAAUGAACCGUGAGGCUUAACCUUACAACGCCGAAG
RNAcentral lists this ribosomal RNA (3011 nucleotides) under Salmonella enterica. Its description in RNAcentral is "23S ribosomal RNA". It matches the Rfam family "Bacterial large subunit ribosomal RNA". The record is from RNAcentral. RNAcentral also lists the same sequence under 1 other name. Lineage: Bacteria; Pseudomonadati; Pseudomonadota; Gammaproteobacteria; Enterobacterales; Enterobacteriaceae.